CAGCAGCCACGGUAAUACGGAGGGGGCUAGCGUUGUUCGGAAUUACUGGGCGUAAAGCGCACGUAGGCGGCUUGGUAAGUUAGAGGUGAAAGCCCGGAGCUCAACUCCGGAAUUGCCUUUAAGACUGCCGAGCUAGCAGGUGAGAGAGGUAAGUGGAAUUCCGAGUGUAGAGGUGAAAUGCGUAGAGAUCGGAAGGAACAUCUGUGGCGAAGGCGACUAUCUGGGCCAACACUGACACUGAGGCACGAAAGCGUGGGGAGCAAACAGGAUUAGAUACCCCUGUAGUCCCUGUCUCUUAUAC
Molecule: ribosomal RNA, 301 nt
Filed under: uncultured bacterium
Lineage: Bacteria
Description: partial 16S ribosomal RNA
Rfam family: Bacterial small subunit ribosomal RNA
Source: RNAcentral